CUUGGUCAUUUAGAGGAAGUAAAAGUCGUAACAAGGUUUCCGUAGGUGAACCUGCGGAAGGAUCAUUACAGAGAACAUGCCCUUUAGGGGGUAUAUCUCCCACCCUUUGUUUACAAUACCUUUGUUGCUUUGGUGGGCCCGUCUUUUAGACCACCGGCCUUGGCUGGUCUGUGCCCACCAGAGGACCAAACAAUUCCUUUUAUUAUGUUGUCUGAGUCUAAAUAAUUUUUAUAAAACUUUCAACAACGGAUCUCUUGGUUCUGGCAUCGAUGAAGAACGCAGCGAAAUGCGAUAAGUAAUGUGAAUUGCAGAAUUCAGUGAAUCAUCGAAUCUUUGAACGCACAUUGCACCCUUGAGUAUUCUCAGGGGUAUGCCUGUUCGAGCGUCAUUAUGACCAAUCAAGCUCUGCUUGGCUUUGGGGCCCGCUGUACCGGCGGCCCUUAAAAUCAGUGGCGGUGCCGUCUGGCUCUAAGCGUAGUAAUACUUUUCGCUAUAGGGUUUAGUCGUUCACCCGCCAGAACCCCCCAACUUUCUUAGGUUGACCUCGGAUCAGGUAGGGAUACCCGCUGAACUUAAGCAUAUCAAUAAGCGGAGGA
RNAcentral lists this small RNA (596 nucleotides) under uncultured Helotiales. Its description in RNAcentral is "eukaryotic LSU rRNA". The stretch from base 235 to 388 matches the Rfam family "5.8S ribosomal RNA". The record is from RNAcentral. Lineage: Eukaryota; Fungi; Ascomycota; Leotiomycetes; Helotiales.